Molecule: ribosomal RNA, 464 nt
Filed under: uncultured bacterium
Lineage: Bacteria
Description: partial 16S ribosomal RNA
Rfam family: Bacterial small subunit ribosomal RNA
Source: RNAcentral
GACGAACGCUGGCGGCGUGCUUAACACAUGCAAGUCGAACGGAAAGGCCCUGCUUGCAGGGUACUCGAGUGGCGAACGGGUGAGUAACACGUGGGUGAUCUGCCCUGCACUUCGGGAUAAGCCUGGGAAACUGGGUCUAAUACCGGAUAGGAGCCAUUUUUAGUGUGAUGGUUGGAAAGUUUUUUCGGUGUAGGAUGAGCUCGCGGCCUAUCAGCUUGUUGGUGGGGUAAUGGCCUACCAAGGCGGCGACGGGUAGCCGGCCUGAGAGGGUGGACGGCCACAUGGGGACUGGGAUACGGCCAAGACUCCUACGGAGGCAGCAGUGGGGAAUAUUGCACAAUGGGCGCAAGCCUGAUGCAGCGACGCCGCGUGGGGGAUGACGGCCUUCGGGUUGUAAACUCCUUUCGCUAGGGACGAAGCUUUUUGUGACGGUACCUAGAUAAGAAGCACCGGCUAACUACGUG